RNAcentral lists this non-coding RNA (30 nucleotides) under Homo sapiens (human). Lineage: Eukaryota; Metazoa; Chordata; Mammalia; Primates; Hominidae. The record is from RNAcentral.
UGCAGAGGAAACUGCCACUUAUAAACCGUC